UCAAACCCGGGCGCGGAAUGAAAGUGAACGGAGGUGGGAACCCCCCCGUUUUGGCGUGGAGGCGCACCAUCGACCGAUCCUGAAGUYUUCGGAUGGAUUUGAUUAGGAGCAUAGCUGUUGGGACCCGAAAGAUGGUGAACUAUGCCUGAAUAGGGUGAAGCCAGAGGAAACUAUGGUGGAGGCUCGCAGCGGUUCUGACGUGCAAAUCGAUCGUCAAAUUUGGGUAUAGGGGCGAAAGACCAAUCGAACCAUCUAGUAGUUGGUUCCUGUCGAAGUUUCCCUCAGGAUAGCAGUAACGUCCCCCCAGUUUUAUGAGGUAAAGCGAAUGAUUAGAGGCCUUGGGGUCGAAACGACCUUAACCUAUUCUCAAACUUUAAAUAUGUAAGAAGUCCCUGUUGCUUCGGUGAACGGGGACCGUUGAAUGGAUCGUUACUAGUGGGCCAUUUUUGGUAAGCAGAACUGGCGAUGCGGGAUGAACCGAACGCGAGGUUAAGGUGCCGGAAUGCACGCUCAUCAGACACCACAAAAGGUGUUAAUUCAUCCAGACAGCCGGGACGGGGGCCAUGGAAGUCGGAACCCGCUAAGGAGUGUGUAACAACUCCCCGGCCGAAUGAAAUAGCCCUG
RNAcentral lists this ribosomal RNA (624 nucleotides) under Spilonema revertens. RNAcentral's name for it is "eukaryotic LSU rRNA". It matches the Rfam family "Eukaryotic large subunit ribosomal RNA", at positions 702 to 1314 of the family's 3401-position model. Lineage: Eukaryota; Fungi; Ascomycota; Lecanoromycetes; Peltigerales; Coccocarpiaceae. The record is from RNAcentral.